RNAcentral lists this ribosomal RNA (465 nucleotides) under uncultured Klebsiella sp. Its description in RNAcentral is "bacterial SSU rRNA". It matches the Rfam family "Bacterial small subunit ribosomal RNA", at positions 338 to 795 of the family's 1533-position model. The record is from RNAcentral. Lineage: Bacteria; Pseudomonadati; Pseudomonadota; Gammaproteobacteria; Enterobacterales; Enterobacteriaceae.
CCUACGGGAGGCUGCAGUGGGGAAUAUUGCACAAUGGGCGCAAGCCUGAUGCAGCCAUGCCGCGUGUGUGAAGAAGGCCUUCGAGUUGUAAAGCACUUUCAGCGGGGAGGAAGGCGUUAAGGUUAAUAACCUUGUCGAUUGACGUUACCCGCAGAAGAAGCACCGGCUAACUCCGUGCCAGCAGCCGCGGUAAUACGGAGGGUGCAAGCGUUAAUCGGAAUUACUGGGCGUAAAGCGCACGCAGGCGGUCUGUCAAGUCGGAUGUGAAAUCCCCGGGCUCAACCUGGGAACUGCAUUCGAAACUGGCAGGCUAGAGUCUUGUAGAGGGGGGUAGAAUUCCAGGUGUAGCGGUGAAAUGCGUAGAGAUCUGGAGGAAUACCGGUGGCGAAGGCGGCCCCCUGGACAAAGACUGACGCUCAGGUGCGAAAGCGUGGGGAGCAAACAGGAUUAGAUACCCGGGUAGUC